Molecule: ribosomal RNA, 403 nt
Filed under: bacterium
Lineage: Bacteria
Description: partial 16S ribosomal RNA
Rfam family: Bacterial small subunit ribosomal RNA
Source: RNAcentral
UGGGGAAUAUUGCACAAUGGGGGAAACCCUGAUGCAGCGACGCCGCGUGAACGAAGAAGGUAUUCGUAUCGUAAAGUUCUGUCCUAUGGGAAGAUAAUGACAGUACCAUAGAAGAAAGCUCCGGCUAAAUACGUGCCAGCAGCCGCGGUAAUACGUAUGGAGCGAGCGUUGUCCGGAAUUAUUGGGCGUAAAGGGUACGCAGGCGGUUUAAUAAGUCGAAUGUUAAAGAUCGGGGCUCAACCCCGUAAAGCAUUGGAAACUGUUAAACUUGAGUAGUGGAGAGGAAAGUGGAAUUCCUAGUGUAGUGGUGAAAUACGUAGAUAUUAGGAGGAAUACCAGUAGCGAAGGCGACUUUCUGGACACAAACUGACGCUGAGGUACGAAAGCGUGGGGAGCAAACAGG